GGAAAGAUGGCCGAGUGGUUUAUGGCAUUGGUUUGCUAAAUCAAAAUACAAAAUUUUUGUAUCGUGGGUUCGAAUCCCAUUUUUUCCA
This 88-nucleotide transfer RNA is filed under the name Synura synuroidea. RNAcentral describes it as "tRNA-Ser". It matches the Rfam family "tRNA". Rfam says of the family: Transfer RNA (tRNA) molecules are approximately 80 nucleotides in length. Their secondary structure includes four short double-helical elements and three loops (D, anti-codon, and T loops). Further hydrogen bonds mediate the characteristic L-shaped molecular structure. tRNAs have two regions of fundamental functional importance: the anti-codon, which is responsible for specific mRNA codon recognition, and the 3' end, to which the tRNAs corresponding amino acid is attached (by aminoacyl-tRNA synthetases). tRNAs cope with the degeneracy of the genetic code in two manners: having more than one tRNA (with a specific anti-codon) for a particular amino acid; and 'wobble' base-pairing, i.e. permitting non-standard base-pairing at the 3rd anti-codon position. The record is from RNAcentral. Lineage: Eukaryota; Synurophyceae; Synurales; Mallomonadaceae.